Molecule: ribosomal RNA, 399 nt
Filed under: uncultured bacterium
Lineage: Bacteria
Description: bacterial SSU rRNA
Rfam family: Bacterial small subunit ribosomal RNA
Source: RNAcentral
GACGAACGCUGGCGGCGUGCUUAACACAUGCAAGUCGAGCGGUAAGGCCCUUUCGGGGUACGACGAGCGGCGAACGGGUGGAGUAACACGUGGGUGACCUGCCCUCAGCUCUGGGAUAAGCCUGGGAAACCGGGUCUAAUACCGGAUAUGACUCCAUGACGCAUGUUGUGGGGUGGAAAGCCUUGUGCGGCUGAGGAUGGGCCCGCGGCCUAUCAGCUUGUUGGUGGGGUGAUGGCCUACCAAGGCGACGACGGGUAGCCGGCCUGAGAGGGCGACCGGCCACACUGGGACUGAGACACGGCCCAGACUCCUACGGGAGGCAGCAGUGGGGAAUCUUGCGCAAUGGGCGAAAGCCUGACGCAGCGACGCCGCGUGAGGGAUGACGGCCUGGUGUAACGU